AAAGGGUCCGUAGGCGGACUCGUAAGUCAGUGGUGAAAUCUCAUAGCUCAACUAUGAAACUGCCAUUGAUACUGCGGGUCUUGAGUAAGGUAGAGGUAGCUGGAAUAAGUAGUGUAGCGGUGAAAUGCAUAGAUAUUACUUAGAACACCAAUUGCGAAGGCAGGUUACCAUGUCUUAACUGACGCUGAUGGACGAAAGCGUGGGGAGCGAACAGGAUUAGAUACCCUUGU
Molecule: ribosomal RNA, 230 nt
Filed under: uncultured bacterium
Lineage: Bacteria
Description: partial 16S ribosomal RNA
Rfam family: Bacterial small subunit ribosomal RNA
Source: RNAcentral